AAACACUCCAAAGUCAGCAGGAGGAAGUAGAAAUGAGACAGAGGCCUCUGUCUCCUAAUCUUUUCCAUAGGCUACUGUUUUCUUUCUUUUCUCAUGAGGAAAAAUGAUAAAAGCAAAAUAAACAAAUUAGCUACCACUUAUGAAAAUCCCCAGGAAAUUCCUUUUCCAGAGUUCUCACUUACUAAUUUGGCUAACAUUACCAAUGGUAACAGACCCCACGUAUCCGCCACAAUUGCUGUGAGUUGCAGAGGAAAAAGACUGGGAGGAAAUCUUCACUUUUCUUCUGCAACAGCAACCAACAGAAAUGAAAGAGCCAGGGGAUUUUGCAAAAUAUCAACUCCUGAGAACUAAGAAUGAGAGCCUUUCCUGCCAAGCCCAUUCUGUGCCAGUCAUCAUAAAAUACUAUGACCCUUCCUUCCAGAAGAACAAUGCGCUGUGAUCUUUGGCUACUCAAGCUUUACAUCAUCCAUAUUACCCUGCAGCAGGAACAGAUUGAUGGGUAUUUUCACUGCCCCCAGAGAGUUACCCUCUAAUCCUUCAUUUGCUGCUCCAGCACAAUUGCACGGAAGCAAUAGCAGGGAUAGUUAGAGUGCAUACAAUUGAUUCCAAUCCAUCCAUCACUUAAACUACUGUCUAGGACAUCAGGAGGCCACA
Molecule: long non-coding RNA, 654 nt
Filed under: Homo sapiens (human)
Lineage: Eukaryota; Metazoa; Chordata; Mammalia; Primates; Hominidae
Description: HSALNT0351085
Source: RNAcentral